Cordylochernes scorpioides is the source of this 75-nucleotide non-coding RNA. Lineage: Eukaryota; Metazoa; Arthropoda; Arachnida; Pseudoscorpiones; Chernetidae. The record is from the annotation of a GenBank genome assembly.
UGUCAAGGGCUGGGAAUCGAACCCACGACCUUCCGCUUACCGGGCAGAUGCCAUGACCACUAGGCUACCCUGGAC